This 253-nucleotide ribosomal RNA is filed under the name uncultured Eubacteriales bacterium. RNAcentral's name for it is "uncultured Clostridiales bacterium partial 16S ribosomal RNA". It matches the Rfam family "Bacterial small subunit ribosomal RNA", at positions 524 to 776 of the family's 1533-position model. Lineage: Bacteria; Bacillati; Bacillota; Clostridia; Eubacteriales. The record is from RNAcentral.
UACGUAGGGGGCGAGCGUUAUCCGGAUUUACUGGGUGUAAAGGGAGCGUAGACGGCGGCGCAAGUCUGAAGUGAAAGCCCGUGGCUCAACCGCGGAACCGCUUUGGAAACUGCGAGGCUGGAGUGCAGGAGGGGUAAAUGGAAUUCCUAGUGUAGCGGUGGAAUGCGUAGAUAUUAGGAGGAACACCAGUGGCGAAGGCGAUUUGCUGGACUGUAACUGACACUGAGGCACGAAAGCGUGGGGAGCAAACAGG